UACGGGGGGGGGUAAGCGUUGUUCGGAAUUACUGGGCGUAAAGGGCUCGUAGGCGGCCAACUAAGUCAUACGUGAAAUCCCUCAGCUUAACUGGGGAACUGCGUGUGAUACUGGAUGGCUUGGAUUUGGGAGAGGGAUGCGGAAUUCCAGGUGUAGCGGUGAAAUGCGUAGAUAUCGGGAGGAACACCAGUGGCGAAGGCGGCUUUCUGGCCUGUUCUUGACGCUGAGGCGCGAAAGCUAGGGGAGCGAACGGG
Molecule: ribosomal RNA, 254 nt
Filed under: uncultured bacterium
Lineage: Bacteria
Description: partial 16S ribosomal RNA
Rfam family: Bacterial small subunit ribosomal RNA
Source: RNAcentral